Molecule: long non-coding RNA, 429 nt
Organism: Lampris incognitus (smalleye Pacific opah)
Lineage: Eukaryota; Metazoa; Chordata; Actinopteri; Lampriformes; Lampridae
Exons: 3
Source: RefSeq, a predicted model, not a curated record
ACAGCGAGGAGGCAAUAAAAAAAAAAAGUCCCCGGUAGACUGGACGGCUCUUGAACUCCACAACUUUUGCAUAUUACCAAAUUCAGCUAUUCCCGGAAUAAGGAGAACCGCUAUUUGCGAAGACGGCAAAGGAUCCUCCUCGUUCUCAUAAGAACAUUUCCCUGAAGCCUGGCGUGUGUUAUGUGAGCACAGAAGGGGCAGCCAGGAGCAGUGGGCAGCCCUUUCCUUUGGCACCCGGGGAACCAAUUCCAAGUGGAUAUCCAUGUCGUGGUCAGGGACAGGACAGGAGAGUGUUGUGCGAGUUUUUUUUUUUUAUUUGGGGUCCUUCUUGAUGUGCGUGGAAGCCCAUGUGAGCAUGGGGAGAACAUGCACAGUGCACACAGACGGGCCCCUGCACACCGACCGGCCUGUGGAGAACAUGCAACGCCU